UAAAUACAAAGUGAUUGAUGUCCAUCGAUCAUUAAUUAUUUACGUAAUAAAAUUUAUUAUUAGGAAUAAUGACAUAUAUAAGUACCAAAUGUACAAGUAUUUCAUAGACAUUUUAUAAAAAAGUGGACUCCAAAAAAGUGUGAAAACUCACUUUUUAAGUUUUUCUUAGUAGAAUUCACUUUUUAACAAAAGAAUUUCACCAAACUGAUAUAUUUGAGAUCGACUUGAUCUUAACGUUACUCAGUUAAUAUUACUCGUCAUCUGCUUCAAUGCUCGAGUAGUAGGGGUUUAUUGGAAUGAAUGAUCCGAACUACAGAUAAAGUGGAUUAGCUUGUCACUUAUUUAUCAAUUAUCAAUCCAACAGCUAGCAGCUCCCUUUAUUCCCCAUCUUUUUCUUGAUCCUCUUCUUCCCCUAAAAGAAACCCUCUUCACUUCUGACUUCAAGUAUUGACAUGGAAGAACUGAGUUUUUAUAUUGGGAUCAUAGGCAACAUCAUCUCAGUACUAAUGUUUCUUUCCCCCGUCGGAACAUUUUGGAGAAUAAUCAAGCAGCGGUCGACAGAGCAGUUUGAGAGCCUUCCUUACAUCUGCACAUUGUUGAGUUCAUCUUUGUGGACUUACUAUGGAAUUAUAAAGGCCGGGGAAUUACUCGUGGCCACCGUUAAUGGUUUUGGCAUUCUUGUUGAAACUAUCUACGUCACUUUAUUUCUUAUAUAUGCGCCGGGAAGAUCUAAGGCUAAGACAGUCAUUCUUGUCGGGUUGUUGGAUGUGGGCUUCCUAGCGGUAGCGAUUUUUGUUACUCGACUGGCAUUGCAGGGAGAGACACGUAUUGCUGCUCUAGGGAUCCUGUGUGCAGGGCUUAACAUUGUAAUGUACAGCUCGCCUCUAGCCGUCAUGAGAACAGUGGUGACAACCAAGAGUGUGGAGUACAUGCCAUUCUUUCUCUCAUUUUUUUUCUUCUUGAACGGUGGGACUUGGACUUUCUAUGCUCUUCUCAUGCGCGAUUACUUCCUUUUGGUACGUACCAAAUGGAUCUGGGUUUCUACUUGGAACAGUGCAGCUAGUGCUAUACGCAAUUUAUUACAGGAAGCCCAACCUGUCCAAAAAUGUUUCAGAUAGACUGGAAGAAGGAUGCCAACAACAGGAACCCCUCAUCUCCAGUACCUCAACUCAAUUACAUGAAACAUCAUAGCUCUCUGCAGAAUCGUGCAUGUUUCCAACUAUAUUCAUACAAAGUGAACUUGGAGCGAUGGCAGAUCAAAAUUGGGUCAAGUGUCGUGAGAGUACUACUACUGCUCGACCGUGUACUAGCCUAAUUUAAAUUUCGGGCUACCUAUGAUCGAUAAUAAUUGCUUGAGUUCUCUAGUUUUGUUUUGGAAUAUCAUGUUUAGAUCACGCCAAAUUAUAAUUAGAGGAGGUGAAUAGAUCGAUCAUGUGAAGAAACGUAUGUACGGAUUAUUUGAAAAGAAAAGCUAUUGAGAUCGUAUAUAUUUUGAGUUA
Molecule: RNA transcript, 1499 nt
Organism: Carya illinoinensis
Lineage: Eukaryota; Viridiplantae; Streptophyta; Magnoliopsida; Fagales; Juglandaceae
Gene name: bidirectional sugar transporter SWEET17
Exons: 7
Source: RefSeq, a predicted model, not a curated record